This is a long non-coding RNA of Hemicordylus capensis (graceful crag lizard), 5543 nucleotides long. RefSeq lists it as uncharacterized. Lineage: Eukaryota; Metazoa; Chordata; Lepidosauria; Squamata; Cordylidae. The transcript has 4 exons. The record is from RefSeq and is a predicted model, not a curated record.
UUCUUUGCCCGUCCGCCCACAGUCCAUUGUGUGAGUGUACGUGCACACACUGUGUGUGUGUAUAUAUAGAUUUUUUUAAGGAUAGUGGUAGGAGUCUGCGAAGAAAGGGGUCGCGAGGAAGGAAAGAGCCCCUUCAGGAGGAGGCUGCCGUUGUAUGAAUUAGAUGAGGAAACAAGAUGAACAAGAUCUGUUAACUCAGGGAGAGGCAGAGAGAGGAAGGGAGAGAGAGGAAGGGAGAGAGAGGAGAAGUACAAGUGGAAGAGGAAAAAAGAAGGGAGGGGAAGAGAAAAAGAAGGAAGGGCGAACCUGAGGGAAACAAAUGACCAUGGCGGUGCCUAUUGGUAGCAAGGAAGGGCCCAGUCAACUACUGCUGCUGUUUGGGGCUACCGAGGCCCAUUGGUGGAGGGAGGCAGGCAGACACAGGAUGGGCCCGGGCCCGGGCCUGUCAGCGGCCUGAGGGGAGCAAGUGGCCAUGGCAGUGGCAGCAGCCUGGUCAACUGCUGCUGCUACUGCUCCUUUGUGGUGAAGGUGGAGAGAUCUCUGAGGUGAGGGGGCUGUGGCAAGGGGUGAGGGGAGAAAUUAAGUACUAGCACGCAGAUGCUCUCCACGGGUUAAGCUAGUAUACUUUAGCUUAACCCAGACUGUUGCUUUUGGAUUUUUUCUAAUGGUUACCAAUAUUUUUUGUUAUCAUUUUAGAGUCAGUGUUAUAAUGAUUCUAAUGUGAGGCUUGUGUAUGGAAAACCUGGAUUUAGAUUUCUACUCAUCAUAAAGCUUAUUGAAGGGAUCCUCAAACCUGGGUCCACAGAUAUUGUUGUACUACAAGUCCCCUCAUCCCCAAAGGCUGUUGCAGUUGGAGUCAGGAUGAUGCAAGUUGUAGUCCAGUAACUUUUAUUUAUAUGUAUUUAAAUAUUGGAGAACAACUGUCAGUAAACACUGGCUCAGUUCACUAGGGUUCUUUCCCUAUUGCUUUUCGUUACAGCUCAACAAUAUUAUCCAUACACUUGAAAGGAGGUGGGUGUUUUGUAUUUAAAUAUUGGAGAAUGACUUUCAUUAAACACUGGUUUAGUUCAGUGGGGUUCUAAUAGUGUUCUAUGGAAUUGGUUCCCCCCACCAGAUCCUAUCGUGGAGAUGCCAGGGAGGGAACCUGGAACCCAAAUGAUCUUCCCAGAGCAGCUCCACCCCCUAAGGGGAAUGUCUUAUAGUGCUCACACAUCAAGUCUCCCAUUCAUAUACAACCAGGGCAGACCCUGCUUAGCUAAGUGGAUAAGUCAUGCUUGCUACCACAAGACCAGCUCUUCUCUCCUUAUGGGGAAUGUAGUCAUGUGACAUACCACUUUUCUCAAAAUCAGUUUCUUCCAAAUAUGUAUAGGUGAGAGAACGAAAGUGCAAGUACUUUAUUUGAAAUGCUUUUAUUAUCUAUCUUUCAGAUUUUCAUUAAAGGUUGGAGACAGAUUUUCCUUGAAUCCAGUACUACUUAAGUAUAACAAAAUCAUAUCAUUAAGGACCUUAGAAAUUACAGCACUACAUUAUAAACUGCUUCGUCUGUUAUAUAGUAAUACUUCAUACAUAUAAGCUGCUCCAAAUUUGCUGCUCUUGUAAGGAAGGUAAAAUACUACAAAACAUUUUUACAUAGCAAAAGCCUAUAACUCUUAAUGCAUCCAAGUUCUACUUGGUGAUUGUUCAGAUAGUAUUAUGUCUUAAUGGAUUCCUUUUUAAAGUACUAGAUUGUGAUUAAUUGCAGUGCAUGAUUAUGUACAUGAAAAGGAUUGGUCUGAACUUUUGCCCUAACCAUACAUGAGGGUAACAGGGAAGUUAUAAAAAGGUGAUGAUUCCAUCAUCUUAUUGAAAUAAAAUGGUGACAUCUUAGUAGACACAAACAAUGCUGUGUGUGUUAAAUGAAUACCACUUUACUGCUUAGUAGAAGGAAUGCAACUCAUAUUACAACUGUUGAAAUAAGAGCCUACCGAUCUCUGACAACUUUAAAAAAAUCAGACAAGACACAUCUGUUCACCCCAGCUUAUUAAUUAGAUUCACUGUUUGGGCGGUAUAGAAAUCUGUAGUUGUUGUUAUUAUUAUUAUUAUUAUUAUUUCAGAAAGAAACUGAGGGUUUAAUACUGGCUGCACAAGAACAAGCACUAAGAACAAAUGCAAUAACAGCAAAAGUAGAAAAGUCAACAACAGCAAGUGCUGCCUUUGUAAAGAAGCAGAUGAAACAGUGGACCACCUAAUCAGCUGUUGUAAAAAGAUCACACAGACUGACUACAAACAAAGGCAUGACAAGGUAGCAGGGAUGAUACACUGGAACAUCUGCAAAAAAUACAAGCUACCUGUAGCCAAAAAUUGGUGGGACCAUAAAAUUGAAAAAGUUGUUGAAAAUGAAGAUGCAAAAAUAUUAUGUGACUUCUGACUACAAACAGACAAACAUCUGUCACACAAUAAACCAGAUAUAACUGUAGUCGAGAAGAAAGAAAAACAUGUUAAAAUAAUUGACAUAGCAAUACCAGGGGACAGCAGAAUAAAAGAAAAAGAAAUAGAAAAAACAACAAAAUAUAAAGAUCUACAAAUUGAAAGGCUGUGGCAGAAGAAGACCAAAAUAAUCCCAGUGGUAAUUGGCACCCUAGGUGCAAUUCCAAAACAACUUGAAGAGCACCCUCAACACCAUAGGGGCCACAGAAAUCACCAUCAGCCAAUUACAAAAAAGCAACUUUACUGGGAACAGCCUAUAUUCUGCAACGAUAUCUAUAACAACAGCAACAAUAUUGAUAAUAAAAUUCAGCCAUCCCAGGUCCUUGGGAAGGACUCGAUGUCUGGAUAAAACAAACCAGUCAAUAACACCUGUCUGACUGUGUAAAUAAAUAAUAAUAAUGUACAAAAAAUGAAAGAUGUAUGAAGGGGAAAAUAUUUGUUUUACUGUUAACCCUGGGAAUAUUUGUGCCUAGAUUCAGCAGAAAAACCAGUGUGGUGUAAUGGCUAGGAUGCUGCAUUUGUACAUGUGGGAAAAGGUUUCAAUCCAUGCACGUCUACUGAUUUCAUUAAGUGCGUUUGACCAUCACCAUCUCAUAAGGAUGGAUACAGGAGGAUGCAGCAAUUUGCUAUUGACAAGCACUAAAGGAGCAGGUCAUUUCACAAGUAUAGUGUGGACAAAGGUGAACUGGGCAACUGAUGAAAAACUGUGGCCAAGGCGAAAUAGCAAUCUCCGAGCCAAACAGUAAUAAAGUUACUGAAAUGAAGCAAGGCAGCUUUUCAAGUGAACUGUCAUAAGUAGGAAAUGGGCUUCAAACUAAUUAAAACCAGUGCUGAACCAACCAUUAGGCUAAGCAUGCUAUAGAGUGGGGCCACUUGCUAAAGGCUACAAGUAUCUAACAGCACUUGUCAGCAGUUUAAUUCCAAUUCUGGGAUGAAGGAUGAUAGCCUUAUUACUGGUAUAUUCCAGAGGAAGUACAGUGCAGCAACAAGAUAUGAUGACCUACAGUCCAAUCUUCGCUCAUGAAUUGGGGAGCAACAAGAAAAAUAGGAGCAGAUUCACCAAUAGAAUGAAAGAUCCGCAGAAUGUAUCUGUCACACAAACAAUGAGUGGUAGGGCCUCUACGACAUAAUAUUAAUGCUUAGGGACUCUACAAUAUCAUAAGAAGAUCUAACGCAGGUGUAACUUCUUCCAUAAAUUCCGCAUGUUUGCACCUGACCAAUUUCUGCCUCCUACAAUUAUGAGCCCUGUUUUGUAAUGAAUCAAGGAAUUCUCCCGUCAUCAUGAACAUUCACAUUUGCCCUGUUCCAAAAAAUGAACUAGUGCAGUGCACUGGUCUCAGCCCCAUGUGCUAGCAUGCUAAUCUGCGAUGAUGCAGAGUGCAAGACCAACACAGUUGUGGAUGGUUGAACUGUGUGCACACACCCACACAGAGAGUCAAAUCUCAGGCUAUGCUAGAGCACAAAAUGGCUUAUAUAAUUAUUUUUUAAUUAUACCCCACCUUUUAUUAAAGUUACAAGGCAAUACGUGAUCAUCUUUUUCUGGUUCCUCUUAUGGCAGAAAAGACUCAAGAGUACAUAGACAGGCAUCCCAAUGCCAAUUAAGAGCCAAAAGGCACACAGACCAGAAGUAGUGCUUCAAGCCCCCUUUCAGAUCAUAUGCUACUAUAUGCAAUGGCAGGACAAUAUUCACGUGGUCAACUCUCAUGCCUUUGAUCAAAUCUGAAAGGUUAGGACAAGGCAAGAGUGAGACAGUUCCCAUAUGUUUUUUAACAGGCUGAUGUCAAGGUUGAUGUGCAAUGUCAAUGUUAUUUUUCUCAGAUGAAAUGUGGUACUUGACAAUACUGGCUGUACGAAAACAUUUACAGCAAUGUGGAGAGUAAGCAUGGUGACAUCUUAUGUCUCAGAAUGGCCCAUUAGUAACAGAGUAUUAGCUUCCAUAACCUGGUUGCCUAUUACGAAAGCCUAAAGUUUCUAUUCAUAUACAAACACAUCCGUCUAAAAAACAAAAAGCUCAAAUGCAAAUGCCCUCCUCCCCACUUACUAAUAAGCUUCGUUAAUGAAUCCUUCCUGUCCCAGGAAUUUAAGAUAUAGUUAUUAUGUCUCUUUAGGUGGGGAGGCUUCUUGUUUCCUUGAAGAAAAGAGUUUAGUUACCAUAACUAAUGUACAUUACCAGUUUUAGAAUUCUAAUUGAGUUUAAUACUGUUUCAUGUUGCAUCAAAGUACAAAAUCAAUACCAUUUGUCCAGCAUACAGGAAAAAUGGAAUCUAUAAACUGCUCUUAUUGAGUAAUUAAACACCUAUUAUUGUCAUGAGUAGUGAAAAAAUGAAUUGGGUAAGAUAAAUUUUCGCAAGAAAACACUGCAGUGAUUAAUACCUCCCCGUGUAUUAAAUAAAAAUGACUGCCUUUUGUGCAGGACUGCUGGCAGAAGAACAGGAAUGAGAGAAGUAGUUGCCAGUACCACAAUAACAGGCUAACCUUGAACUGAACUCCUUUCCUCAAGAAAUUAAAUGCUAUAGCAGGACGUUAAAUCCCUCCACUUAGAGCUCAUUUGUGUUCCACGUAACCUGCAGUUCCUGAAGGGGAGAAAAAACUCAUUAUCUUCAAAAGGAGAAUCCUUUUAUAAUUUCUUUACAAAUGUGCAUAUUGUUUCUCCAAAAAAGUAUUUCACAUUAGAAGGAUAUGGGUAUUAACAGCAUAAGCAAGUGGGGGUGGGGGAGAGAGAAAAAGAAAAAGACUUGCAUCAUUAAGAUACCCUUUCUGCUUCUUGGACAUUCAAAUAGUAACUGAACAGUGUUAUAGGGAGAAAUGGGAUGUGAAUGGGGGUUAAAGAAAAUGUACCUUUACAGCAAAAUUUUAAUCUGUCAGAGUGAUGUUAAAAUGCCCAGAUCUCUCCAUUGCUACAUGCCUGUAUUCUGUGCGCACACACACGGCCCCUCCCCCACAUUCAUCCUGAUGGCUGCCUUUACAUCCCUAUUUUUCUUUUCACUUUCAACGACACACUAGGAACAACUAUCAAGUACAAAAGAUGAAUCUAGGGAUGUGACACUUGUAAAGGGUAACCCUAUUUCACAAGUGCA